This is a regulatory RNA element of Clostridium kluyveri DSM 555, 129 nucleotides long. It matches the Rfam family "Ribosomal protein L10 leader". Rfam says of the family: This family is a putative r-protein leader autoregulatory structure found in B. subtilis and other low-GC Gram-positive bacteria. The record is from Rfam. NCBI's taxonomy places the organism in Bacteria, Bacillati, Bacillota, Clostridia, Eubacteriales, Clostridiaceae.
GUUGAAUAAGUAUAUUUUCCUUAGACAAUAGGUGCAAAAUGCGUAACGGUAAAACCAACCUAUCCAGGAUUCCAAUAUAAAGUAAAGGUGGUCUCUCUGUGUCUAUAGGGAGGCUUUUGAUUUUUAUAU